This 898-nucleotide ribosomal RNA is filed under the name uncultured bacterium. RNAcentral's name for it is "bacterial SSU rRNA". It matches the Rfam family "Bacterial small subunit ribosomal RNA", at positions 33 to 914 of the family's 1533-position model. The record is from RNAcentral.
ACGCUGGCGGCGUGCCUAAUACAUGCAAGUAGAACGCUGAAGGAGGAGCUUGCUUCUCUGGAUGAGUUGCGAACGGGUGAGUAACGCGUAGGUAACCUGCCUGGUAGCGGGGGAUAACUAUUGGAAACGAUAGCUAAUACCGCAUAACAGUAGAUGUUGCAUGACAUUUGCUUAAAAGGUGCAAUUGCAUCACUACCAGAUGGACCUGCGUUGUAUUAGCUAGUUGGUGGGGUAACGGCUCACCAAGGCGACGAUACAUAGCCGACCUGAGAGGGUGAUCGGCCACACUGGGACUGAGACACGGCCCAGACUCCUGCGGGAGGCAGCAGUAGGGAAUCUUCGGCAAUGGACGGAAGUCUGACCGAGCAACGCCGCGUGAGUGAAGAAGGUUUUCGAAUCGUAAAGCUCUGUUGUAAGAGAAGAACAGGUGUGAGAGUGGAAAGUUCACACUGUGACGGUAUCUUACCAGAAAGGGACGGCUAACUACGUGCCAGCAGCCGCGGUAAUACGUAGGUCCCGAGCGUUGUCCGGAUUUAUUGGGCGUAAAGCGAGCGCAGGCGGUUAGAUAAGUCUGAAGUUAAAGGCUGUGGCUUAACCAUAGUACGCUUUGGAAACUGUUUAACUUGAGUGCAAGAGGGGAGAGUGGAAUUCCAUGUGUAGCGGUGAAAUGCGUAGAUAUAUGGAGGAACACCGGUGGCGAAAGCGGCUCUCUGGCUUGUAACUGACGCUGAGGCUCGAAAGCGUGGGGAGCAAACAGGAUUAGAUACCCCUGGUAGUCCACGCCGUAAACGAUGAGUGCUAGGUGUUAGACCCUUUCCGGGGUUUAGUGCCGCAGCUAACGCAUUAAGCACUCCGCCUGGGGAGUACGACCGCAAGGUUGAAACUCAAAGGAAUUGAC